UUCAGGAAGACGGCAGCAAAACAAAGUUGUUGGCGCGGUUUUGAGAGAGCGGGUGAGCAGUGAGAAAGAUGAAGCGGAGUUAUCUGAGUGGAGCGGAGAAGAGAAGAAGGCGAAAAGAAAAGAAACAGUUUUUAUCAAAACUACCGAAGGUAUCAACCUUUUUCACGGUGACACCGAGUGGGGAUUCUCUGCAACAGCUAGAGCUAGAUGCUGCUGUCAGUAGCAGCUCUGCUGUCAGUGUCAGCCGAGGAGAUGUGGCGAGUGAAGCAAAGGAUUAUUUUCAUGAAGAUAAACGCAACAUACAACUUCAUCCAGGCUGAACCUGCUGCUGCUGCCACACUAAAGACGUGUUGAGGUGAGAAUAAAACUUUUGUCAGUGCAGUAUGAGGAUGUCAAGGGCCCCAAUGACUGGAUUUGCCUUGGGCCCCCAAAUGACUAAAUACGCCCCUGAGUGAAGGAGCUCGGACCUGACCGGUCUGACGUCUUAAUUAGACAACAGUCGGAGGACAGAGGGAGGAGAUAUACGUGGUCUUUUUCGCGGGCCUGGUAUGAGAAGACGUCUUGGCUGACAGGAUGCAGUGAGGCAGGUGCUUUAUUUUGCUUCCUCUGCCUGCUUUUUCAAACCAAGGGAACUGAUCAAGCCUGGAUUCAGACAGGUAUGGCGGAUUUAAAGUAUUUUUCUGAGAAAGUAAGAAGGCAUGAGCAAGCUAGGAGCCACAUGGAAAAUGCUAUGCGUCUGGGCAUGUUUGCGAGAGCUAACAUAGCAGCUCAGCUUGAUGAUGGCUACAGGAUAGGCAUCCGUAAACAUAACGAAGUCGACAAAAAUAGGCAUGUGCUGUCUAAAAUAAUAGACUGCAUUAAGUUCUGUGGUGCCUUUGAGCUCUCCCUGAGAGGCCAUGAUGAGAGUGAAAGCUCCGAAAAUCCAGGUGUUUUCAGAGGGCUGGUGGAUUUUGUAACAUCACUAGAUGCAGCUGUCCAUGAGCACCUUCAGACUGCCACUGUGUUUAAAGGGACAUCCAAAACAGUGCAGAAUGAACUCCUUGACUGCAUGCUGGCAGUUUUGAGUGAGUCCAUUAUUGAGGAAGUUCAGUGUGCAGACUUCAUAUCCAUCCAGGCUGAUGAAACAAUGGACAUCUCUACCCAGUGUCAGCUUGUUCUUGUGAUCCGCUACAUCGACAAAAUAAAUGAAGUGCAGGAGAGAUUUUUUGAGUUUAUACCUCUGCAAUCUGCCACAGCUGAGUCCAUUGCCAUAGCACUUUUGGAGAGGCUGAGCCUCAUUCUCCCCGAUGAUCAGAAGAGCAAGCUCAUCUCUGUCACAAGUCAGAGGUUUGAACCCAAGCAGCAGGCGCAGACAGGUGGGUGAAAUUAUUAAUGAUUUAAUAUCAACAAAAGUAAAUAAACAGAAAAAACUCUUAAUAAUUAUGACAGAGGAAAACAAGGGGAAGAGAACACAACUAAACUGAACCAAGGGCGGACCUGAAGGCCGAGAAAAACUAACAACCAAAACUAAACCAAAAUACUGGGGAAGAAGACUCACGAGAGGUCCAGAGCAUUAGUCCUGAGUCUGACGGGCGACAAAACUGGCUGAGUCGAGGGAGAGACGUGGCGAGGGUAGGUAACAGUCCAAAAGUGAAAUAGUGUCCAGUAGACGGAAUACAGGAAACGAAGUGCAGGAUUUGGCGGAGUGCGUCGUGGUCUUGGCAGGUGAGCAUGGAACAAUGAGCCGGCAGUGAACUGUGUAAAAAGGCCGGCUUAUAUACUGCAGUGAUUGUCUAUUCAAGCCAGCUGCGCUCUCCACACAGCUGUUCAUCAUUUGGCUGACUGAGCCAGAGCACCGGAGCAGGAGGAUCAUGACAAUCUCCCAGGCCUAUGAUGGUGCGAGUGUCAUGAGAGGAAACAAUGAGCUGCAUGAGUGAUGUGUAUGCGAAUGCACACUAUGUCCACUGCUAUGCUCACCAGCUCAACAUUAUCAUGCAGCAGGUGACAUCCCAUAUCCCAAAAGUUGGUCAGUUCUUCUCUGACCUAGCUGGAUUCUCAGGAUUUUUUUCAAGAUCCCCCAAGAGAACCAGUGUGCUUGACAGAGUGGUGGCACACAGGCUUCCAAGAGCAAGCACAGUAAGGUAGAACUUCCACAGCCGUGCUGUCAAGACUGUGUUUGAGCACAAAGACGACCUCCUUCAGUGCUUCGAAACCAUCAGGGACUCAGGUAACUUUGAUCCUACCACUGUCAGUGAAGCUGGAGAUUUUGUGAGACUCCUGGAGGAUGCUACCUUCUGCUUCUUCCUGGAGCUUUUCCACCGCAUCAUGCCUCAUGUGGACAUGCUCUACAGCCAGCUCCAGAAGACGUCCAUCGAUUUGGUCUUUGUCCACAGAGUGACGCAGCAUUUCACCGACAACGUGCAGCUAAUCAGGUAAAUACAUUUGGAUGUAACCAUAUUAAACCCUUAUGCAUCCUCUCACAAAAAGUGUCAUACGCAGUACUAUGGGACAAAAAUGUCAAAAACUGUAAUAAAAUUAUUACAUACUCAUAUCAUUUUCCUCUUACAUAGUUAGAUUUUUAAACCAUAAGUCCAGAUAAUAAAAGUUUUGAUUGAACUGAUCAUUUUCAGAGUAUUAACAUUUCUUUAUUACCUUUAAUUCCCAGUUCAUUUACAUUAUAUCACUAUUGUGUAUUGUGAAAAAAUAAAAUAAACUGAGUUUUACCCAAACACUUUUUUUUCUCUUCUGGGGCUGGUCAGAGACUCCCUCCCUACUGUCAGUGAAGAAUAUCACAGCUGUGUGUCUCAGCAGCAGCUGGCCAAGAAGUGCCGCACACUGGGACCAGAUGAACUACAGAGGAUAGCUCUGGUUUGUGACACAAUCCUGGGCCAUGCAAAAGAGAGGUUUGCCUUCACCAAACACCUAAUCAGUGCUACACUGCUUCAAGGAGACAGAUUCCAGGAGUACGACAGCUAGUUCCCUGAAGCAGCCCUCAACACCACCAUGGAGGCCUAUCCAAUGCUGAACAAGGGCAAGCUGAAAACUGAACUGUCGCUCAUCUUCAGCAACACAGAGUUCAGGAGUUGCAAUGGUGCUGUGGCUCUGUACCAGUUCUUCAUGAGCAACAAUCUUCAGGACACCUUCUCAGAGACUGUCUCUCUCCUGAAGAUCUUCAUCAUGACUCCAAUGACGACAGCUAAAUCUGAGAGGUGCUUCUCAACACUAAAAAGAAUCAAGACCUUCCUCAGGAACAUGAUGUCGCAGGAUUGUCUUAAUGCACUGGCCAUGCUCUCUAUGGAAAAGAAACUUGUCAGGGAGACCCCAGAUUUAAACCAUAGAGUCAUUGAGAAAUUUGCAUGUCUCAAAGACAGAAGAGCAAAACUUGCAUACAAAAAAAUAACACAGAUGUAGAGGUGCUGGCUUCAAUCUCUAAAAUGUGAGGAUUUACUUUUUUGUCAUUUAAUAAUGUAAAUAGAAAUGUUAGUUGACAAAAGUGGCACUUUAGACUGAAAGCCUGUUGAUUUUCACAUGUUCUGAAAUCUGAGGAAUUACUGUUUUUCUUUUCUUUUUUUCAUUGUAAAUAUUUAAUGUUUGUUGACUGAAGCACUUUGGGCUCAAAGCCUAAGAUAAGAUAGGUUUUAUUUGUCACAUGCACAGUUAUACAUAGUAUAAUGCAAAGUGACAAAUUUUUAUUGCUUUGAUCUUAAAUAUGCAGAUUUGCUGUUUUCUCAUUGUCAUGGAAGGUUGUUAAUGUAAAAGUUAGCUCACAGAAGCACUGUCUGCUUUAAGUCUUAUAGUUAGGUUUUUUUUUUUAACAAAAUGUCCAAUGUUUGUUGGUUUCACAGAUAUGGAUUUGUUUUUGUUUAUUUGAGUAUGUAAAUAUAAAUUUGUUGUUCCAAAGAUUUUGCUGGACAGAAGAAGCACUUGGCACUCUUUGAAGCUGGAAAAAUGAAUUGUUUUUUUUUUUUUUUUACUUUUGAAGUAAAACAUAGAUUUGCAUA
Molecule: long non-coding RNA, 3980 nt
Organism: Acanthochromis polyacanthus (spiny chromis)
Lineage: Eukaryota; Metazoa; Chordata; Actinopteri; Pomacentridae
Exons: 3
Source: RefSeq, a predicted model, not a curated record